This is a long non-coding RNA of Tupaia belangeri chinensis (Chinese tree shrew), 1429 nucleotides long. RefSeq lists it as uncharacterized. The transcript has 6 exons. NCBI's taxonomy places the organism in Eukaryota, Metazoa, Chordata, Mammalia, Scandentia, Tupaiidae. The record is from RefSeq and is a predicted model, not a curated record.
CUGCAUUGACAACAUCAUGCUGACAGGACAGGAAGAAAUAGACUUUGCCCAGAAUGCUUGUAUCAGAGAGAUUAUUCCCUGUGUUAUCAGCUACACAGGGAAGAUCUGAAUGAGUUGAUGGGAAAUGCUCCUCCUGGGUGAACAUUUGACUGAUACAAGCCUAUGAUCAUCCACUUCACCUCGAAGGCAUGGUCUGAGGGGAGUCAUCCAGCGACCUUGUGGCAUGUUAGUACUAUGGACCCUUCAUCACGGCCGGAGCAGCAACUUGUGCUCAGUGGAACACAUGCCUUCCAGAUUUGGAUUUGAUUUCCCAUGCACUGUGCUUUUGCUUGUCCCUGCUACUAAAUGUCUUACUGGAGUUCUUGGCAGCUACAGAAUCGACCAAAGAAUCGAAUGGCUGUGCACAAGAAUUCUGCCUUAUCCUGCUCUCGGUCCCGGGAGAACAUUGAAAGAGUCACAGGAAACCUUCAAGUCAGUCUGUACCUGAGUUCUACUUCACGCUCACAAUUACACUUGUAUAUCGAUGGGACCUGAGUUCACAUGUGUAGAUGGAGACGGAAGGUGGAAAUAACUUUGCUAAGACGCAGGCAAAGCUACGGUGCCGGCUGUGUAAACUGAAUUCACUCGUGCCUGAAACACAGUUUGCUUAGUCCGGCCUCCUCCCUGACGGAAGUUGAAAGACCUGCUGCAUUUGCUUUCCACGACUGCCUGUUUUCAUCCUGGUAAAUUAAGGACAACCCCAGAAGUGACAACACUUUACAAGAAGGCAAUUUAAGGAAGGCUGGAGGGACUGGCCCACGUUUCGCCUGGGUGACAUGGAGGCCUUUAUGCAAUUAUUGGUUGUAAUUAGGGUCCCAAAGAGACUGACCACCGUGUGUCCCACCUGAGCAUUGAGCAUGUCCUAGAAUUCUAGGUAGUGCUGGAGCUGCGGAUUUCCGUUUGCAGUUAAAUUGCUAGAAGGUGCAGUUGUCAUUUGGAUGUCUCAGUUCAUACCAUCAGAAGAAUGUUGGGCAUUUCUCUUGCUGUUGUAGGCAUCCCAAGCCCCUGAACUGGUUUUCCUACCAUUAAAUUGGAAGCCAUUCUUGACAAGAAAAGUAGAGAGACUGCUCUCUGCUUUUCUUUCUAAGAUUACAAAGUAAUUAUCUUUGACACAUACCUCUCCCAUCUCUCAAUCGAGUCAAGAUCACAGUUUAUUUCUCCUUUGUAAAUCACUACAUCGAACUCUUUCUCCAGGCCCUCAUAUUUCCUUUUAUCCUUAACUCCUGAGUAGCCACCUAAAAUGUCACAUUAGGAGCAUAUUGAGAUAAACAGGAAAUGGAAGAGUCAGUCCCCGUGAUCAAGUUGUCACCCCACUAUAUUCUGAGCAACAUGUAAAGAUGGGAAAACCUGGAUCGCUUUGGUUUUAAUAAAAGGGGGAAUUCUAAAUGUG